CCUACGGGAGGCUGCAGUGGGGAAUAUUGGACAAUGGGCGAAAGCCUGAUCCAGCCAUGCCGUGUGUGUGAAGAAGGCCUUCGGGUUGUAAAGCACUUUCAGUGGGGAAGAAAGCCUUGGGGCUAAUACCCUCGAGGAAGGACAUCACCCACAGAAGAAGCACCGGCUAACUCCGUGCCAGCAGCCGCGGUAAUACGGAGGGUGCGAGCGUUAAUCGGAAUUACUGGGCGUAAAGCGCGCGUAGGCGGUCUGAUAAGCCGGUUGUGAAAGCCCCGGGCUCAACCUGGGAACGGCAUCCGGAACUGUCAGGCUAGAGUGCAGGAGAGGAAGGUAGAAUUCCCGGUGUAGCGGUGAAAUGCGUAGAGAUCGGGAGGAAUACCAGUGGCGAAGGCGGCCUUCUGGACUGACACUGACGCUGAGGUGCGAAAGCGUGGGUAGCAAACAGGAUUAGAUACCCUAGUAGUC
RNAcentral lists this ribosomal RNA (465 nucleotides) under Vreelandella stevensii. RNAcentral's name for it is "partial 16S ribosomal RNA". It matches the Rfam family "Bacterial small subunit ribosomal RNA", at positions 338 to 795 of the family's 1533-position model. The record is from RNAcentral. Lineage: Bacteria; Pseudomonadati; Pseudomonadota; Gammaproteobacteria; Oceanospirillales; Halomonadaceae.